UACGGGGGGGAGCAAGCGUUGUUCGGAUUUACUGGGCGUAAAGGGCGCGUUAGGCGGUCGUGACAAGUCACUUGUGAAAUCUCCGGGCUUAACUCGGAACGGUCAAGUGAUACUGUCGGACUAGAGUACAGAAGGGGCAACUGGAAUUCUCGGCGUAGCGGUGAAAUGCGUAGAUAUCGAGAGGAACACCAGUGGCGAAGGCGACUUCCUGGCCUGUUCUUGACGCUGAGGCGCGAAAGCUAGGGGAGCAAACGGG
RNAcentral lists this ribosomal RNA (256 nucleotides) under uncultured bacterium. Its description in RNAcentral is "partial 16S ribosomal RNA". It matches the Rfam family "Bacterial small subunit ribosomal RNA", at positions 524 to 776 of the family's 1533-position model. The record is from RNAcentral.